GACAGGAUGAAAUUUCAAUUUCAGUUUGCUCUGCUGUUAACUGUUAGUACAUUUGUCCUUAGUUCACCUUUCAUUGCCAAUUCGAAGAGUGCGUUAAGUAAUAUGCGAGGAGGAAUCGGAAAAUUAAAAAGUAUACUUGAUACCAUGGAUCAAAAGAUAAAGACUUUGGAUACGAUUUUUCUUCGUUAGAAAAAAACUUUAAAGUUUCAGAACGAAAAUGGUACAAAUAUAAAGAACACUGUUACUACUCCAGCGAAGAUCUCACUGAUUGGUUCACUGCAGAGAAUAGUUGUAGAAAAAUGGAUGGAUAUUUGGUUAAGUUUGAUGAAAAGGCUGAAAACGAAGCCAUAUCAUCUAACAGACGGCUUAAGAAAGAGCAUUACUGGAUAGGACUGACAGAUUUGAAGGAAGGAGAGUAUCGAUGGAUCUAUGAUCAAACCAAAGCCACUUUUUUACCUUGGACCAGAGGGUAUGGUGCAUCAGGAACUAAAUAUAACUGCGUAAUGCUCCAAAGAAAAAUAGCAAAAUGGAUUGACUAUUCAUGUGGAUAUAAAUGGCGUUAUAUUUGUGAGAGCGAUCAUUGCUACUAAUGCUAUCGGAUCGAACAGAACUGAAUACCUGUAAUUCAAAUAAUACUGAUUCGUAAUAAAUGUUUUCUGUUCUACAAGACGUUAGUUAUUUAUUAAGCACAAAUUGCACUCAUAAGAGGUCAAAGGCCGCAUACAUAAAGUAACAUU
This is an RNA transcript of Mytilus californianus (California mussel), 737 nucleotides long. It is a transcript of the gene named perlucin-like protein, with no coding region annotated. The record is from RefSeq and is a predicted model, not a curated record. NCBI's taxonomy places the organism in Eukaryota, Metazoa, Mollusca, Bivalvia, Mytilida, Mytilidae. The transcript has 5 exons.